Molecule: ribosomal RNA, 253 nt
Filed under: uncultured bacterium
Lineage: Bacteria
Description: partial 16S ribosomal RNA
Rfam family: Bacterial small subunit ribosomal RNA
Source: RNAcentral
UACGUAGGGUGCGAGCGUUAAUCGGAAUUACUGGGCGUAAAGCGUGCGCAGGCGGUUUUGUAAGCCAGAUGUGAAAUCCCCGGGCUUAACCUGGGAAUGGCAUUUGGGACUGCAAGGCUGGAGUUUGGCAGAGGAGACUGGAAUUCCUGGUGUAGCAGUGAAAUGCGUAGAUAUCAGGAGGAACACCGGUGGCGAAGGCGGUUCUCUGGGCCUGUACUGACGCUGAGGAACGAAAGCGUGGGGAGCGAACAGG